RNAcentral lists this ribosomal RNA (573 nucleotides) under fungal sp. IK37(3S). RNAcentral describes it as "eukaryotic LSU rRNA". The stretch from base 221 to 374 matches the Rfam family "5.8S ribosomal RNA". Lineage: Eukaryota; Fungi. The record is from RNAcentral.
AAGGUUUGGCCGUAGGUGAACCUGCGGAAGGAUCAUUACCGAGUGUAGGGUUCCUAGCGAGCCCAACCUCCCACCCGUGUUUACUGUACCUUAGUUGCUUCGGCGGGCCCGCCAUUCAUGGCCGCCGGGGGCUCUCAGCCCCGGGCCCGCGCCCGCCGGAGACACCACGAACUCUGUCUGAUCUAGUGAAGUCUGAGUUGAUUGUAUCGCAAUCAGUUAAAACUUUCAACAAUGGAUCUCUUGGUUCCGGCAUCGAUGAAGAACGCAGCGAAAUGCGAUAACUAGUGUGAAUUGCAGAAUUCCGUGAAUCAUCGAGUCUUUGAACGCACAUUGCGCCCCCUGGUAUUCCGGGGGGCAUGCCUGUCCGAGCGUCAUUGCUGCCCAUCAAGCACGGCUUGUGUGUUGGGUCGUCGUCCCCUCUCCGGGGGGGACGGGCCCCAAAGGCAGCGGCGGCACCGCGUCCGAUCCUCGAGCGUAUGGGGCUUUGUCACCCGCUCUGUAGGCCCGGCCGGCGCUUGCCGAACGCAAAUCAAUCUUUUUCCAGGUUGACCUCGGAUCAGGGUAGGGAUACCC